UGCAUUGCCAGAAGUUCUUCCAAUAGAGCGCCGAGGAGGCCUUCCUAAACUUACCAAGCCAUCAUUUACAGAGCUGAUAUCUAUUCUCUCACAUUUUGACGCCCUAACUAGAGAAUUGAGUGCCUCAAAAGUGCCCACAUUAUUUCUAAAGCCACUGUGGAAGAAAGAGUUGAUGAAACUCUUAAACGAAAAGUCAAAGGAUAGAUCGAUUUCUGCUGCUGGUCAGAAGGUGGCCAGUAUGCUCAUGGACAGUGUUGAGAGCAAAGUACAACUUCAAACUCUGCAUUUUUGUGCGACAAUUUUGCACCCGCAGUUAAAAUACUUUGUGCAAAGAGAAUACGGAGCAGAGUGCCACAAUGAAGCGGCAGAUUUCCUUGAGUCAAAAAUGAUGCCAGACUGCGCUCAGCAUUUUCAAGAUCUGCUAGGUGAUGGCAUAGAGGACUGCCAGCGACAGCCAAACAACCUAUUAGGAAAUUCCUCAUCCGAGCAGCAGAUCCCGAUGAGCCAUGUUAAUAUUUGGGAUAGAAUCCAAUCAUACGGUUGUGGCAGUUCCAGCAGCGGCCUUUCUGAGGAUUUUACUGCAUUUACCUCCCACGCUGAAGAACUGGCAUCGUGGAUGUGUGUACCAGAGAGAAAAUUGGAGGGCAAAAGUAUCCUGAAUUAUUGGAGGGAACAAAAACACCAUCCAAUUUUGGCUGCCACAGCACUUUUCAUCCACAGUAUUCCGUGUUCCUCAAUCCCAUCCGAAAGGCUGUU
This is a long non-coding RNA of Cloeon dipterum, 756 nucleotides long. RefSeq lists it as uncharacterized. Lineage: Eukaryota; Metazoa; Arthropoda; Insecta; Ephemeroptera; Baetidae. The transcript has 3 exons. The record is from RefSeq and is a predicted model, not a curated record.